UACGGAGGAUGCAAGCGUUAUCCGGAAUGAUUGGGCGUAAAGCGUCCGCAGGUGGCAAUGUAAGUCUGCUGUCAAAGCGUCUGGCUCAACCAGAUAAAGGCAGUGGAAACUACAUAGCUAGAGUAAGGUAGAGGCAGAUGGAAUUCCGGGUGUAGCGGUGGAAUGCGUAGAGAUCCGGAAGAACACCGGUGGCGAAGGCGGUCUGCUGGGCAGUUGCUGACACUGAGGCGCGACAGCGUGGGGAGCAAACAGG
This 253-nucleotide ribosomal RNA is filed under the name uncultured bacterium. RNAcentral describes it as "partial 16S ribosomal RNA". It matches the Rfam family "Bacterial small subunit ribosomal RNA", at positions 524 to 776 of the family's 1533-position model. The record is from RNAcentral.